AGAGCUGGGGGACCGAGGCCGAUCGGCAGCUCGUGGUCCCGAGGUGACCCUGGCCUUCUAGCACCGCGUGCGCAUCGACUCCCUCGUGCGCUCCUGCGCCGCGGGACUCUCGAAGCCCUUCGACUUCGCGUAGGCCCACGCCUUCUCCAGGGUCGGCACGGGCUCGGGGGUUUUGCACGACGUGUCGCCGUGGUCGAUCUCGACCUUGCCGAUCCGCUUCCCGGCGGCGAUCACCGACUUGCGCAGGGCGGCGCUGCGAGAGCCGAUCGCGAUCAGCGCAUGGAGCAUCGCUUCGCGCUGCGAGCUCGGGGAUUCGUGGAUCGAUUCUUCGAUCUCCGCGAGGUGCUCGGUGAACCAGGCAUCGGGCGUCUCGGAGUCCCGCAUCGCCAUCGUGCCGACGAGCGACCACCCGACGCAGCGCUUGUUCUCGUCCUUCGAGCGGAGCCACUUCUCGGACCGGCCUCGCGCAUUGGGUCCCUCGGCGGCGAGGCACGCAAUGUAGCCGGUGCACAUCCGGGCGCCCGGCGUUCCCGCCCAGCGGUCGAGGUCGGUCGGGGACAUCCGCGCCGGGUCGGCGAUCUUGACUGCCAGGUUGCGCGCGU
Molecule: unclassified non-coding RNA, 602 nt
Filed under: uncultured fungus
Lineage: Eukaryota; Fungi
Description: sequence contains 18S rRNA gene, ITS1, 5.8S rRNA gene, ITS2, 28S rRNA gene
Source: RNAcentral